GGCAGUCUGUGAUGCUGGGCACUCUCACAAUGAGGGGAGUCUGAAUGCAAUGGUAGUUAGACUACAGGAGAGGGAUUCCCAGACCAACUGGACAUGUGAAGAUUUCCACACAGACAGGGGAUACAGAGGAGAUAAUGUAAAAGGAGAUGGGUCUGUUGGAAGGGCAGGAAAGAAAGGAAGGUGGCUUUAAAGUGAUUAAAGACUCACUCAGUUCCAUGAACCUUCUGAAGAAAACAAAAAGUUUACUCACGUCAGCCCAGAGUUACAGCUCCAACUUGGUUGACAGCUGAGCAGAUGUCUUGCACAUGAAUGGGGGUCUUCAGAGAUAAAGUUGAAAACUCUGGAGGAGAAGGUGAAGAGAAUGAGCCCAUAAAGAGUAUAAAAACCUGGAGGCAUGACUAGAGGAGGAGCAGUGAUGUAACAGAGGGGCCAACCAGGGGCAUGCCAGCAUCUCCCCCACCUGCUAUCUAAGAACUGUGGUACAUCAGGGCUGCUAUGUAAAUUGGCAUUUCAAACUGUAGAAGACAAAGUGAAGGAGCUUGUUCCCAGCCUGAGUAUUGGUGUCUUCUGAGCUCCACCCUGAGAUAAAUGUUUCAAAGUUUCUGAUGCAGUACUACCCGGCAUGAUGGAAGAGGUGAACCAUCAACAAUUCCGUAGUUUGGUUUUCCUUUUUCCAUAGUCAGGAACUUCUGUUUUGGAGAAGGAGGUUUAUGCCUUUUAACUGCAAACAUAUCUUUCAACUAACUCUGAAAGAUGCCAUGAUUUGUGCAUGGGUAAGAAGCAUUAUUAAUACCCUUGAGUUGUAGCAAUAAAACUACAUACAGGUCCUUUCAA
This is a long non-coding RNA of Mauremys reevesii (Reeves's turtle), 834 nucleotides long. RefSeq lists it as uncharacterized. Lineage: Eukaryota; Metazoa; Chordata; Testudines; Geoemydidae. The transcript is spliced from 5 exons. The record is from RefSeq and is a predicted model, not a curated record.